This 768-nucleotide ribosomal RNA is filed under the name uncultured bacterium. RNAcentral describes it as "bacterial SSU rRNA". It matches the Rfam family "Bacterial small subunit ribosomal RNA", at positions 253 to 1012 of the family's 1533-position model. The record is from RNAcentral.
UGAGAUAAUAGCUCACCAAGGCGAUGAUACGUAGCAGACCUGAGAGGGUAAUCUGCCACAAUGGGACUGAGACACGGCCCAUACUCCUACGGGAGGCAGCAGUAGGGAAUCUUCCACAAUGGACGAAAGUCUGAUGGAGCAACGCCGCGUGAGUGAAGAAGGGUUUCGGCUCGUAAAACUCUGUUGUCAGAGAAGAACGGCUGUGAGAGUAACUGCUCACAGUGUGACGGUAUCUAACCAGAAAGUCACGGCUAACUACGUGCCAGCAGCCGCGGUAAUACGUAGGUGGCAAACGUUGUCCGGAUUUAUUGGGCGUAAAGGGAGCGCAGGCGGUUUAUUAAGUCUGAUGUGAAAGCCUUCGGCUUAACCGGAGAAGUGCAUCGGAAACUGAUAAACUUGAGUGCAGAAAAGGAUAGUGGAACUUCAUGUGUAGCGGUGAAAUGCGUAGAUAUAUGAAGGAACACCAGUGGCGAAGGCGGCUAUCUGGUCUGUAACUGACGCUGAGGCUCGAAAGCAUGGGUAGCAAACAGGAUUAGAUACCCUGGUAGUCCAUGCCGUAAACGAUGAAUGCUAAGUGUUGGGAGGUUUCCGCCUCUCAGUGCCGCAGCUAACGCAUUAAGCAUUCCGCCUGGGGAGUACGACCGCAAGGUUGAAACUCAAAGGAAUUGACGGGGACCCGCACAAGCGGUGGAGCAUGUGGUUUAAUUCGAUGCUACGCGAAGAACCUUACCAGGACUUGACAUCUUCUGCCAAUCUAAGAGAUUAGAC